This 254-nucleotide ribosomal RNA is filed under the name uncultured bacterium. Its description in RNAcentral is "partial 16S ribosomal RNA". It matches the Rfam family "Bacterial small subunit ribosomal RNA", at positions 524 to 776 of the family's 1533-position model. The record is from RNAcentral.
UACGUAGGGACCAAGCGUUGUCCGGAAUCAUUGGGCGUAAAGAGCGUGUAGGCGGCUUGUUAAGUCUUGCGUGAAAUCUCGGGGCUCAACCCCGAGCGGUCGUGAGAAACUGGCAGGCUAGAGUGCGGGAGAGGAGAGUGGAAUUCCUGGUGUAGCGGUGAAAUGCGCAGAUAUCAAGAGGAACACCUGAGGUGAAGACGGGUUGCUGGGCCGACACUGACGCUGAGUGCGCGAAAGCCAGGGGAGCAAACGGG